This 158-nucleotide unclassified non-coding RNA is filed under the name uncultured Xylariaceae. RNAcentral describes it as "sequence contains ITS2". Lineage: Eukaryota; Fungi; Ascomycota; Sordariomycetes; Xylariales; Xylariaceae. The record is from RNAcentral.
CAACCCCCAAGCCCUAUUUGCUUGACGUUGGGAGAUUACGGAGACGUAACUCCUGAAAUAUAGUGGCGGAGCCGGGUCGUGCUCUAAGCGUAGUAAUACACACUCUCGCUUCUGAAGCCGGCCUGGGUCUCGCCGUAAAACCCCCUAUAUUUUUUAUU